RNAcentral lists this transfer RNA (69 nucleotides) under Marmota monax (woodchuck). RNAcentral describes it as "tRNA.Ala". It matches the Rfam family "tRNA". From Rfam's summary of the family: Transfer RNA (tRNA) molecules are approximately 80 nucleotides in length. Their secondary structure includes four short double-helical elements and three loops (D, anti-codon, and T loops). The record is from RNAcentral. Lineage: Eukaryota; Metazoa; Chordata; Mammalia; Rodentia; Sciuridae.
GGGUUUGGCUCAGUGGCAGAGCGCUUGCCUAGCACGUGUGAGGCACUGGGUUCGAUUCUCAGAACCACA